Beta vulgaris subsp. vulgaris (sugar beet) is the source of this 285-nucleotide non-coding RNA. Lineage: Eukaryota; Viridiplantae; Streptophyta; Magnoliopsida; Caryophyllales; Amaranthaceae. The record is from Rfam.
CUACUGACUUAAUUGGCUUGAGCCUUAGUAUGGAGAUCUAUUAAGUGAAACAAUUCAAAGAAACUCUGGAAUUAAUAAAAAUGGGCAAUCUUGAACCAACUCCUUUUUUCAAAAGCAAAACAUAAAGAUUCCGAAAACAAGAAUAAAAAAAAAAGGAUAGGUGCAGAGACUCAAAGGAAGCUGUUCUAACAAAUGGGGUUGAUUGUACUGUGUUGUUUUAAGAAUUCUUCUGUCGAACCUCCAAUCCAAAAUGGGUGAAGAAUAUACUUAUCAAAUGAUUAAUGA